RNAcentral lists this ribosomal RNA (497 nucleotides) under Chryseobacterium sp. Its description in RNAcentral is "bacterial SSU rRNA". It matches the Rfam family "Bacterial small subunit ribosomal RNA", at positions 31 to 526 of the family's 1533-position model. The record is from RNAcentral. Lineage: Bacteria; Pseudomonadati; Bacteroidota; Flavobacteriia; Flavobacteriales; Weeksellaceae.
UAGAACGCUAGCGGGAGGCCUAACACAUGCAAGCCGAGCGGUAUAGAUCUUUCGGGAUCUAGAGAGCGGCGCACGGGUGCGGAACACGUGUGCAACCUACCUUUAUCAGGGGGAUAGCCUUUCGAAAGGAAGAUUAAUACCCCAUAAUAUAUUAGAUGGCAUCAUUUGAUAUUGAAAACUCCGGUGGAUAGAGAUGGGCACGCGCAAGAUUAGAUAGUUGGUGAGGUAACGGCUCACCAAGUCAAUGAUCUUUAGGGGGCCUGAGAGGGUGAUCCCCCACACUGGUACUGAGACACGGACCAGACUCCUACGGGAGGCAGCAGUGAGGAAUAUUGGACAAUGGGUGAGAGCCUGAUCCAGCCAUCCCGCGUGAAGGAUGACGGCCCUAUGGGUUGUAAACUUCUUUUGUAUAGGGAUAAACCUACCCUCGUGAGGGUAGCUGAAGGUACUAUACGAAUAAGCACCGGCUAACUCCGUGCCAGCAGCGGGGUUAAUAA